RNAcentral lists this ribosomal RNA (253 nucleotides) under uncultured bacterium. RNAcentral's name for it is "partial 16S ribosomal RNA". It matches the Rfam family "Bacterial small subunit ribosomal RNA", at positions 524 to 776 of the family's 1533-position model. The record is from RNAcentral.
UACGGAGGGUGCAAGCAUUAAUCGGAUUUAUUGGGCGUAAAGGGCGCGUAGGCGGGGAUAUUAGUCAGAUGUGAGAUCCUGGGGCUCAACCUCAGAACUGCAUUUGAAACUGUAUCUCUAGAGGGUAGGAGGAGAAAACGGAAUUCCACAAGUAGCGGUGAAAUGCGUAGAUAUGUGGAAGAACACCGGUGGCGAAGGCGGUUUUCUAUCUUAUUCCUGACGCUGAGGCGCGAAAGCAAGGGGAUCAAACAGG